GGACUACUGGGGUAUCUAAUCCUGUUUGCUCCCCACGCUUUCGCGCCUCAGCGUCAGUUACAGCCCAGAGAGUCGCCUUCGCCACUGGUGUUCCUCCACAUAUCUACGCAUUUCACCGCUACACGUGGAAUUCCACUCUCCUCUUCUGCACUCAAGCUCCCCAGUUUCCAGUGCGACCCGAAGUUGAGCCUCGGGAUUAAACACCAGACUUAAAGAGCCGCCUGCGCGCGCUUUACGCCCAAUAAUUCCGGACAACGCUUGCCCCCUACGUAUUACCGCGGCUGCUGGCAC
RNAcentral lists this ribosomal RNA (291 nucleotides) under uncultured bacterium. RNAcentral describes it as "partial 16S ribosomal RNA". The record is from RNAcentral.